RNAcentral lists this ribosomal RNA (243 nucleotides) under uncultured Actinomycetales bacterium. RNAcentral describes it as "partial 16S ribosomal RNA". It matches the Rfam family "Bacterial small subunit ribosomal RNA", at positions 89 to 334 of the family's 1533-position model. The record is from RNAcentral. Lineage: Bacteria; Bacillati; Actinomycetota; Actinomycetes; Actinomycetales.
GCUCGAGUGGCGAACGGGUGAGUAACACGUGAGUAACCUGCCCUUGACUUUGGGAUAACUUCAGGGAACUGGGGCUAAUACCGGAUAGAGCUCCUGCUGCAUGGUGGGGGUUGGAAAGUUUCGGCGGUUGGGGAUGGACUCGCGGCUUAUCAGCUUGUUGGUGGGGUAGUGGCUUACCAAGGCUUUGACGGGUAGCCGGCCUGAGAGGGUGACCGGCCACAUUGGGACUGAGAUACGGCCCAG